CUACGUUCAACUUGGAUGAUGUUUCAGC
This 28-nucleotide small RNA is filed under the name Bombyx mori (domestic silkworm). RNAcentral's name for it is "piRNA piR-bmo-1544059". Lineage: Eukaryota; Metazoa; Arthropoda; Insecta; Lepidoptera; Bombycidae. The record is from RNAcentral.